CACCACUGAUCUCUACUACAGGGUAUGGACAGCACAUCGAGCGCCCUCGACUGAAGCCAACCUUGUCGCGGAAGCUGGUGCUUCACAACUUUGCAGUAGCACUUCGUUUGCACGGCCUGUGGAGACAAGGUUUCUUAGACAUGGCCAUGGCCCUCAAGGAAGAUGCCGAGGCCACAGGCAGUUCCUCCAGUGACCGUGAAAAGGUGCCCUGGGGCACAAGUCUAAUCUGGCAUCCCCACCUUUCUCCUGCAGCUUUUCUGUCUACUUAGCUAACCAGCAGCAAGUUUAUCCUUGCAAGCGUUUGGGGUCAAGAGCAACUUUCACCAGGAAAAA
Molecule: long non-coding RNA, 333 nt
Filed under: Dermacentor andersoni
Lineage: Eukaryota; Metazoa; Arthropoda; Arachnida; Ixodida; Ixodidae
Description: uncharacterized LOC126516771
Source: RNAcentral